GACGAACGCUGGCGGCGUGCUUAACACAUGCAAGUCGAACGGAAAGGCCUGCUUUCCCUUGUGGAUUGCGGGUACUCGAGUGGCGAACGGGUGAGUAACACGUGAGUGAUCUGCCCCCAACUUGGGUAUAAGCCUGGGAAACUGGGUCUAAUUCCCGAUAGGACUGCAGGGUGGUGCCUGUGGUGGAAAACGAUUUUCUAGUGGUUGGGGAUGAGCUCGCGGCGUAUCAGCUUGUUGGUGGGGUAAUGGCCUACCAAGGCGGCGACGGGUAGCCGGCGUGAGAGGGUGGACGGCCACAUUGGGACUGAGAUACGGCCCAGACUCCUACGGGAGGCAGCAGUGGGGAAUAAUGCGCAAGGGGCGGAAGCCUGAUGCAGCGACGCCGCGUGGGGGAUGACGGCCUUCGGGUUGUAAACUCCUUGCGACCGAGAGGAAGCCACCUGGUUGGAAGGGUGGUGACGGUAGUGGUAGAAGAAGCACCGGCUAACUACGUG
This 494-nucleotide ribosomal RNA is filed under the name uncultured bacterium. Its description in RNAcentral is "partial 16S ribosomal RNA". It matches the Rfam family "Bacterial small subunit ribosomal RNA", at positions 28 to 507 of the family's 1533-position model. The record is from RNAcentral.